GUCCCGGGCACAGUCUCUCCCCACCGCCCUGCAUGGACUUGCCCAAUAAAUUCCACUUAGUAAUUUCGCUGAGGCGAGGGAGAGCUGUUAGUGUCUGUUUUCUGACCUAAAUCUAGAGGGUGGUCAGAGCGGGCUUCAGGGAGUUGGGGGGAGAGCUAUGGGCUCAGGAAAUGACCUGGGGGAGGAGGACGAACAAGGGACGGGGUCCAAGGGGCACGAUUUGGGUUUUCUGCAGGGCUUUCUCGGAGUCUGUCUGCUCCCUUUGGGCUGCACCAUCUCCCUGGUUGAAGGGCCGAGGCUGGGGGUCCCUUUCCCCUUAAAGUCGCCAGAUUCCAGGCAGAGCUUCUUGGAGGGCCUAUCCGUCCCGCAGCGGUGGCUUCCUUCGAAGACCUGAGCUGGGAUUGGGUUCAAGGGAUUCUCUCUUGUGGUUAUCCAGGGCUGAAGGAGGCUGGCGGGUUGCGACGUGGAGAUAAGUCACGGAUCGUGGGGCCAGGUGCAGCUCACGAGGCACAGCCGAAAGGCCAAGAGCAGGCAGCAGGGUAUGAAGAGCUUGCCCCGGGGCUCGCGGGGACGACUCCUGCGUUCCCAGUAUGCCAGUACCCCAAAGUGCCCUGCAUUUGCUCUUUGAACAAAGUUCUGUUUGUCGAUGGACUGACCGGCUUACUGACGUAAAGAUGAGGAGCAAACAGAGGGACAGAUCAAGGCCCUUCCUUGACGCCUGGAGUAAGCUGGGGCCAGUGCUCUGGACGCCAGCCCCCGCUCGGGAGAGGGUCUGGAAACCGCGACUGCGUCUCUGCGGAAGGCUCCGGAUCCGGGAGGUGGCGGAUCCGCCCUCCAUCUAUUGGAUGGCUCCCAGGCCAAUUGUUAGAAAGAGGCAUAUGUUCAUCUCGGCUUCUGGAGUGUCUCCGGAGCAGUUGCUCAACAGCCAGCCCCCUCCCCCAUCCGGACCAUUGAAGGGCAGAAAAAGGAGCGCCCUCCGCCACAUUUCUCUUUGCCCACAUGCCAGAAAGGGUCUCCCCACUGGUAACUUCCUGUCAUCUCCACUGUCCACCUCCUUGGGAGCAGGAAAGAGAGGGGCUACGGGCACUCAGCUUUGGAGCACAAAAGCCACCCUUUUCCUUUGGGGGGCAGAUGGAAGGGGAGGUUAGUCUCAGAGGCAGGGAGAGAGCAAAGGAGACAUUUGCAUUUCUCUGCAAAUAUGCCCUGGAUCACUGACUUCCCAGUCGGUUCCAGCAGAGCUCAGAGCUCUCCGCUGAACUCUUAUCUCUAACUUGGCAACUAGACUGCGAGCUCGCAAACCAAGGAGAGGACAGGGAUGAUCACCCAGCAAGAACCUUCUGUGCUCCAGCAUUGGACCUGGCAUGUUCCCAACCAUCAUCUCACUUAAUUCCCAUGCCCUGUGAGGUAGGGUUUACCAAAGGUGAAAAGGAGUCCCAGAGAUUGUUCAAGUUCACACAGCCAGGAGGUCCGGUGUUUGAAUCCAGGUUAGGCUGAGUGUAGAGUCCUCACCCUCACCCCUGCACCUUGCUGCCUGGGAGGGUAAGGGGGCAUCUAAACUGUGGUCAAGAGUACAGGUUCAGGGGUCAGUCCUCCUGGGUUUAAAUCCCUACUCUGCCAUUUACUAGCUCUGUGAUCUUAAGCCAAAUGGCUUCAUUCUUCAGGCCUCAGUUUUCCCAUCUGUUAAAUGGGGAUUAUAAUGGGAGCAACUCCGUGGGCUUGUUGCAAGGAUCAAAGGAAAAGCUUGGGUUGAUGCCUGCUGUGUAGUAAGUGGUCCACAAAUGCUGUGCCUUCUGAUUCUUUUCCUUUUGCCUCCUAGUCCUGCCUCAGCUUACACACUUCAGGUUCAAUAAUACUUGCUGACUGAUUAAUUAAAAAACCAGGCUGUGAGGGGAUGAAGCAGGUCUAUAAACUCAGGAAGGGGAGAAAGAGGAAAAUGCAGGUUUGUUCUCAAAAUCCCACCUUCCAGAACCAAGGGCUGUCUGAGCCUUAUGAUGGGAGCAAAUUACGGAGCAAAAAAAGACCAUGACUUUUUACAGGACAGCCCGUAUGCAUACAGAGUGGUCUCUAGAAACAUAUACAAUAAGUGUGUAGAAAAGUUAAAAAGCACACAUUGCCACGUGGCUUGCAGGAUCUCAGUUCAAACCCCGACCAGGGAUCAAACCCCGGACAACAGCAGUGAAAGGCUGGAGUCCUAACCACUAGGCCACCAGGGAUCUCCCAUAAAAGCACAGGUCUUUGUUUAAGAAUGUUUGGAGCAGAAUUGUUUGUAAUAGUGAAAAAUGGAAAGCAAUUUAAAUGUCCAUGGUGAAGGAGCGGCCCUUGGUACCUUGAUACUAAAAAACAUUGUUUUUAAAUCCUGAUUUCAAAAACUCUUUUAUUCAUGGGAAAAUGUUCACAACAAAAUAUUAACUAAAAAAAAGACACAGGGUACAAAGUUGCAUAAAUAUGAUGCCAAGUUGCAAAGGGCACAAAGAGCAGAAAAUUAAGUACUCACUGUUUCCAACCAUGUAUGAAUAUGGGUAAUGAAGCAAUGGUCAGGAAAACAACAGUGUCAGGCGGGUGGUAGGAUUGUGAGAAAUUUUUUUUCUCUUUUCUCUGUUAUGCAAUAUGAUUAUAUUAUUCUUAUAAUUUACUAUAAGUUUAUAGUUAAUGGACUGCGUAAACAGUAUGCUUCUACUAUUGUUAAAAUUAUUUGUGCAUAGAAAAAAUAUUGAAAGAAUAUACACCAAAAUAGGGACUUCCCUGGUGGUCCAGUGGUUAAGACUCCGCACUUCCAAUGCAGGGGGCACAGGUUUGAUCCCUGGUUGGGGAACUAAGAUCCCACAUGCUGCGGGGUGUGGCCCACCCCCCCAAAAAAGUAUCUUAAGGAAAAAAAAAAACCUAGAAAAAAACAAACAGAACACCAAAAUGUUAACAGUGAUUAUAAUUGAAUGGUGGGAUUAUGGAUGAUAUUUUUCUUUUCCUUUAUUUUUCUGCUAUAAGAUUAUAUUAUUUUCUUACAAUUAAAACAGGUGCAUAAUUUGAAAAGUGCGUAAUCAGUACAAUCCCACUGGUGUUAACAGUAUGGCUGUAAAUUGAAAAAAAUGGGAAGGAAAUGUAUUAAAAUAUUAACAGUUUUUAUAUUAAGUGGUAAAGGAUUAUGGUUCUUCUUUAAUAUGAUUUUAUUACUUUUAUAGUUAAAAUAAAAUGAAUACUUACGAAUGGCAUAUACAGUAGGAUCCCACUUUUGUUAAAAAUGUAUAUAUAUGUGGGUGUGCAUAGAAUAAAUAAUAGACGACUCCAAAAUGUGGUUGUCUCUGGGUGGUAGGGUUAUGGGUGAUUUUUGUUUUCUCUCUUUUUAAAAAAAAUUUUAUUGGCGUAUAGUUGAUUUACAAUGUUGUGUUAGUUUCAGCUGUACUGUUUUCUCUUUUAUACAGGAUUUCUUCAUUUUCCAAAUUUUUUACAGCUAUCAUGUAUUAUCUUUUAGUUAUGAAAAAUGUAAAAAAGAAUUCAAUACUGAAGUAUUUAUGGGAAAAAAGGGCAUGUCUGGGAUUUGCUUUAAAAUAUUCCAGUGGGGA
Globicephala melas (long-finned pilot whale) is the source of this 3557-nucleotide long non-coding RNA. RefSeq lists it as uncharacterized. The record is from RefSeq and is a predicted model, not a curated record. NCBI's taxonomy places the organism in Eukaryota, Metazoa, Chordata, Mammalia, Artiodactyla, Delphinidae.